GCCGGUGUAGCUCAGUCGGUAGAGCAACACAUUCGUAAUGUGUGGGUCAACGGUUCGAUUCCGUUCAUCGGCU
Molecule: transfer RNA, 73 nt
Filed under: Methylocucumis oryzae
Lineage: Bacteria; Pseudomonadati; Pseudomonadota; Gammaproteobacteria; Methylococcales; Methylococcaceae
Description: Methylococcaceae bacterium Sn10-6 tRNA
Rfam family: tRNA
About the family: Transfer RNA (tRNA) molecules are approximately 80 nucleotides in length. Their secondary structure includes four short double-helical elements and three loops (D, anti-codon, and T loops). Further hydrogen bonds mediate the characteristic L-shaped molecular structure. tRNAs have two regions of fundamental functional importance: the anti-codon, which is responsible for specific mRNA codon recognition, and the 3' end, to which the tRNAs corresponding amino acid is attached (by aminoacyl-tRNA synthetases). tRNAs cope with the degeneracy of the genetic code in two manners: having more than one tRNA (with a specific anti-codon) for a particular amino acid; and 'wobble' base-pairing, i.e. permitting non-standard base-pairing at the 3rd anti-codon position.
Source: Rfam by way of RNAcentral